GGGGGAAGAUGGACAAAGGCAAUUGAAAAUACCAUCUGAAUUAUAUAAUUUUUUAACUUGGAAAUAAGAACUGUGAUUUUUAUGAUGAAAGGCCAUAUAAGGAUAUAGGGUUAUGUCAGAAGAGUUCUCUGUCUCCAUUUCUGCCCUUGUUUUUCCAGUUUACCACAGCCUACAACCUACUCUUACAAAUGUUUGUGAGACAACACUGAAAUGUGGUUAAGAUCCUUCCAUCAGUUACAGCAUAUGGUUCCUGGAUCCUGUCUGGAGCCUGAUCACAGGAUACCCUCAGCACAGUGUGGUUGGAAGUUCUGCCUUCCCCUGACACCAGUGAGGUGUACCGUGGAGAGCCCAAGGCCAGGAUUUUGGAGCACCACUGCUUCCUCAAAAGGACAGAAUUCAGUGUCGGAAGACAAACGAGAGUUUUCCACAAGACUUGAACACAAGACUUUUUAAGGCACUUUUGAAGUUUGAGAACAGAUU
RNAcentral lists this long non-coding RNA (480 nucleotides) under Dromaius novaehollandiae (emu). Its description in RNAcentral is "lncRNA (ENSDNVG00000014371.1)". Lineage: Eukaryota; Metazoa; Chordata; Aves; Casuariiformes; Dromaiidae. The record is from RNAcentral.